UUAUGCCAGCGUGUUUCCAUUUGCUUGGGAAAUGCCCUAACCUUAGGCUAGAGUUGUAGAUUAGCAGCGACUUCGUUACCACUAGUGCAUCAAUUUCUAGCUUUAGUUCAUUGAGCGUGAUUGGCCUAAUAGUCUGCUGUAGCUCCUGGUCUGUUUGUUGCUGCUGGAGUUUCUGCUGCUUCAGUUGUCUCCAUUCCUGACGAAUUUCUGCACGCUCCUCAGACGAAUUAGAGAAAUUUGGACUGAAUCUUUCUUCAAGGUGGGCGACGAAAGCCUCCGCUUUUUCGGCAGUAGUUUUCGUCCAUAUUACGUUUGGAUUUGUCGCACGCCUCGCGCCCCCAUUGCCAACAUUAGCCUGUAUUGUUUUUAUUGGCCAAUUGGGCUGCGGCUGUUUUUUAAGCUUGUUGCUGGAUUAGUGCCUUCUUCAACUUAUUUUGUGCAGACCUAUAUUGUUGCCUUGCCUCUGGAGUUCGUGUCGCCAUUAAAAUCUGCUUGCAUCUCUGUUUCUCCGAUAAUAGUCUUCUGGUUGGCUCGUCCAGUUCAAGAUCGUGCCUGCGGUGGGCCCGGUGGCUAAGCUGGUUUCCUAUCUGCCUGUGUGCUGCUGCAUCUGCCGCUAUUUGAACGUUGCGUACGAAGAUGUUCACUGCAUCGUCGAUGUCCAGGCCACUGCGGAUCUCGGUGUUUAAGUGGAUUUGCUGGUCAAGAAGCUCCUGAAAACGAUGCGUAUUGGCUCCAUUAGGGGCAGGUGGUCCGAGUCCAGGUCCGUAGAGGAGUGGAUUCGAAGUCGAUUGCUAUCUAGCCCACCGUAGACUGCGAGGUCAAUUGCUGAUGGUCUUUUCCUCCUAUCGUACGGGUAGUGCGUUGCUCCGCCGGUGGCCAGAACAUUAUAUCGACUUUGCGUGUGAAUUGCUUCGAAGAGCGCUUUGCCUCUGUGACAGGCGCGCGGGUUUCCCCACCAUGAGUGCUGGGCAUUCCAGUCACCGCAGAGGAGAAAGUUAGAUGAAGCCAGUUCUGUGAUUUUGUCAAAAUGUCUGAACAGUUUUGUGAAGUGUUCGACUGACCAUUUGAACACUGGGGGGCAGUAUAUUGGCGCAAUUAUAAUUAUUUCCCUUUUAUUCUCAUUUUCAGGAAGUAAGGCAACAGGCAUAAUCUGGAGGAAGUUCUCGGACAUUGGAUGAAGGGCGGCAUGUCUAAUGUCGUUUCGUACAAAGAUAGCGACUCCACCUCUCCGAUACGUGUGUGGAUUGGUUGUACUGUAUGUGUGGUAGCCGUCCAUGCUUAGUAUGCUGGCGUCAGAUGGAACCCGAGUUUCGAUGACCAUCAUAAUUUGGAUGGACUCGCGUCGCAUGUACAGCUCUAGCUCUGUCAUUUUGUUGCCUAUACCACAUGCAUUCCAGAAAGCAAUUUUAAGUGGGUUGCUAUUCUGGCCGCUCCUGUGGAUGGUCACAUGUGGAUUUGCUGUACUAAUUGGCGCACUGUUGUGGACAUUUUCAGCUGAGGAAGUAGUGGCUAUGGUCAAUUGAGAGUCGGUACUGCUGUGAGUACGACUAUACAUAUUUAGUGACGUCAUUGGCGAUGGCAGCUUCCCUAGAGCAGUCCAUUUGGGCUGCUUUGCUGUCUGUUUGUUGAUGGGCUAUGUUUGGGAACACAUGAUUAUUGGUGUUUGUUGUAUUGUUUUCAUUAUGGAUGGUAAUGAAUUGCACAAGGACAUUUAAUAGAGUGUCUAUUCUUUUUUCCAUGCGACUAAACAUUGCCAUGUUUUGUUCUAAUGUCUGGAGUAUAGUGCUUUUGGACAUUGAUG
Molecule: long non-coding RNA, 1801 nt
Organism: Drosophila novamexicana
Lineage: Eukaryota; Metazoa; Arthropoda; Insecta; Diptera; Drosophilidae
Exons: 4
Source: RefSeq, a predicted model, not a curated record